Molecule: ribosomal RNA, 913 nt
Filed under: uncultured archaeon
Lineage: Archaea
Description: bacterial SSU rRNA
Rfam family: Archaeal small subunit ribosomal RNA
Source: RNAcentral
UUCCGGUUGAUCCAGCCGGAAGCUACUGCUAUCGGGAUUCGAUUAAGCCAUGCGAGUCGAGAGGGUUCGGCCCUCGGCUGACGGCUCAGUAACACGUGGAUAACCUGCCCUCAGGUAGGGGAUAAUCUCGGGAAACUGAGGACAAUACCCUAUAGACAUCCUUUGCUGGAAUGCUUGGAUGUUCAAAGGCAACGCCUGAGGAUGGGUCUGCGGCCUAUCAGGUUGUAGUGGGUGUAACGGACCCACUAGCCUACGACGGGUACGGGCCUUGAAAGAGGUAGCCCGGAGAUGGACUCUGAGACACGAGUCCAGGCCCUACGGGGCGCAGCAGGCGCGAAAACUUCGCAAUGCGGGAAACCGUGACGAGGGAAUCCCGAGUGCUCAUACAAUGUAUGGGCUUUUAUGAUGUGUAAAAAGCAUUAGGAAUAAGGGCUGGGUAAGACCGGUGCCAGCCGCCGCGGUAAUACCGGCAGCUCUAGUGGUAGCCACUUUUAUUGGGCCUAAAGCGUUCGUAGCCGGUCAGGUAAAUCCUUGGGUAAAUCGUACAGCUUAACUGUGCGGAUUCCGAGGAGACUGCUUGACUAGGGACCGGGAGAGGUUGGAGGUACUCCUGGGGUAGGGGUGAAAUCCUGUAAUCCUAGGUGGACCACCGGUGGCGAAGGCGUCCAACCAGAACGGCUCCGACGGUGAGGGACGAAGGCUAGGGGCGCAAACCGGAUUAGAUACCCGGGUAGUCCUAGCUGUAAACGCUGCAGACUUGGUGUUGGAGAUCCUACGAGGGUGUCCAGUGCCGAGAGAAGUUGUUAAGUUUGCCGCCUGGGAAGUAUGGCCGCAAGGCUGAAACUUAAAGGAAUUGGCGGGGGAGCACGCAACGGGAGGAGCGUGCGUUUAAUUGGAAUCACGCCGAAAUCUC